Beta vulgaris subsp. vulgaris (sugar beet) is the source of this 1125-nucleotide long non-coding RNA. RefSeq lists it as uncharacterized. NCBI's taxonomy places the organism in Eukaryota, Viridiplantae, Streptophyta, Magnoliopsida, Caryophyllales, Amaranthaceae. The record is from RefSeq and is a predicted model, not a curated record. The transcript has 2 exons.
AGUAGAAAAAGGUCAAUUUGCGUCCCCUGAUUUGCGUCGCACAGACACGGAAACGACGCACAACUGGGAUUUGCGUCGCAUGUGGGAGGAGUGCGACGCACAACGUGACCCAUUUGCGUCGCACCUGCUUUACAUGCGUUGCAAAAGCCAAAUAUGCGUCGGAUACCCUGACUUAUGCGACGCAAAUUGUCUCUAUAUUAAAAAAAAAAAAUCAAACUAUGUGCGUCGCACGUCUUUUGGGUGCGUUGCAAAAUACCCAAUUUGCAACGCACCUCUAAUAUGCGACGCAUAUUAAGACUACCAUUCUCAUAUUAUUUCAGGAGGCCCACUACUUCAAAAACCCUAGCUCACACGCCCUCCCUCCCCUCAAUGCUCAGCGCCCCUCUCUCUCUCUCUUCAAACUCCCCUCUCUCUCUCUCUUCAAACGCCCCUCAAUUCUCAGCGCCUCCCUCUCUCUCUUCGUUGUUUCGUCGAACACCUCCUCCCUCUCUCUCUCUCUCUUCGUUGUAGCAGUCGUUUUGUUGAAAAACCGCGUCGAACACGCUCAUUUCCGUCGAACCGCGUCGAACACCGCGUCGAACACCGCGCCUAUGUGCGUCGUUUUGUCGUUCCAUCUUUUAGGUUCAUCGUGUAUUAGGAAUUUCCGUCGAACACCGCCUGCAAACACCAACAUCAGAUUCGAAGAAGAGCAGCGAUGAAAAUUGAAAAACCACCAACCCUUUCUCAGAUCUAACGUUCUCAGAUCUGGUUUUUAGCGAUUUGAAGAUAGAGAUUUGAAGAAAGAGAUUGAAGAAAGAGAUUUGAAGAACGAGAUUGAAGAACGAGAUUUGGUUUUUGGCGAAUUUGUUCGUUCCAUUUCGCGAUUUGUAAUUUUUUUUGAAGAUACGUAUUUCGUUUGUAUGUUUGAAGAUCUGGUAUUUUUUAUGUUAUUUGUUUUUUAAUUUCGUUUGUAUGACAUGAUAGUGUUGCAAGAUCUGGUAUUUUUUAUGUUUAGUUUUUUAAUUUCGUUUUUUUUGUAUGUUAGAUCUGAGUUUUUUAUUUUUGUUAUUUGUUAGGAUUUUUUUCUUUUCUUAAUCGACGUAAGAUUGUACUUUCUUAAUCUAAUUUAUUAUCUCGUUCCAUCAA